Molecule: ribosomal RNA, 433 nt
Filed under: uncultured bacterium
Lineage: Bacteria
Description: partial 16S ribosomal RNA
Rfam family: Bacterial small subunit ribosomal RNA
Source: RNAcentral
AACGAACGCUGGCGGCAUGCCUAACACAUGCAAGUCGAACGAGACCUCCGGGUCUAGUGGCGCACGGGUGCGUAACGCGUGGGAACCUGCACGUAGGUUCCGAAUACCUCCCCGAAAGGGGUGCUAAUACCGGAUAAUCUCUUCGGACCAAAGAUUUAUUGCCUGUGGAUGGGCCCGCGUUGGAUUAGCUAGUUGGUAGGGUAAAAGCCUCCCAAGGCGACGAUCCAUAGCUGGUCUGAGAGGAUGAUCAGCCACACUGGGACUGAGACACGGCCUAGACUCCUACGGGAGGCAGCAGUGGGGAAUAUUGGACAAUGGGCGAAAGCCUGAUCCAGCAAUGCCGCGUGAGUGAUGAAGGCCUUAGGGUUGUAAAGCUCUUUUACCCGGGAUGAUAAUGACAGUACCGGGAGAAUAAGCUCCGGCUAACUCCGUG